Molecule: non-coding RNA, 191 nt
Filed under: Desulfobacca sp.
Lineage: Bacteria; Pseudomonadati; Thermodesulfobacteriota; Desulfobaccia; Desulfobaccales; Desulfobaccaceae
Source: RNAcentral
GACAGGCGAGAGUUAGUCUGCGGGCCAGCCCGAGGUUGGCCAAGGAACCCGGUGAAAAUCCGGGGCGGUCCCGCCGCUGUGACCGGGGACGAAUCCGGCAAAAACCACUGCCUGGGCGCUUAACCCAGGUGGGAAGGGCCGGCGGAGAAAGAUCCGGGAGCCAGAAGACGAGCAGAUUGACUUGAGGGGAU